This 464-nucleotide ribosomal RNA is filed under the name Streptococcus mitis. Its description in RNAcentral is "bacterial SSU rRNA". It matches the Rfam family "Bacterial small subunit ribosomal RNA", at positions 28 to 476 of the family's 1533-position model. The record is from RNAcentral. Lineage: Bacteria; Bacillati; Bacillota; Bacilli; Lactobacillales; Streptococcaceae.
GACGAACGCGGCGGCGUGCCUAAUACAUGCAAGUAGAACGCUGAAGGAGGAGCUUGCUUCUCUGGAUGAGUUGCGGACGGGUGAGUAACGCGUAGGUAACCUGCCUGGUAGCGGGGGAUAACUAUUGGAAACGAUAGCUAAUACCGCAUAAGAGUAGAUGUUGCAUGACAUUUACUUAAAAGGUGCAAUUGCAUCACUACCAGAUGGACCUGCGUUGUAUUAGCUAGUUGGUGGGGUAACGGCUCACCAAGGCGACGAUACAUAGCCGACCUGAGAGGGUGAUCGGCCACACUGGGACUGAGACACGGCCCAGACUCCUACGGGAGGCAGCAGUAGGGAAUCUCCGGCAAUGGACGGAAGUCUGACCGAGCAACGCCGCGUGAGUGAAGAAGGUUUUCGGAUCGUAAAGCUCUGUUGUAAGAGAAGAACGAGUGUGAGAGUGGAAAAGUUCACACUGUGACGGU